GGGAAGCUCAGCUUCAGCUGUGGCUAGAGAAGACAGGACUCAGGACAAUCUCCACCAUGGCCUGCUUCCCUCUCAUCCUCACCCUCCUCACUCACUGUGCAGGAUCCUGGGCCCAGUCUGUGCUGACUCAACCACCCUCAGCGUCUGGGGCCCCUGGGCAGAGUGUCACCAUCUCUUGUUCUGGAAGCAGUUCCAACAUUGGAAGUAAUAAUGUAUAUUGGUACCAGCAGUUCCCAGGAACGGCCCCCAAACUCCUCAUCUAUUAUAGUAAUCAGCGACCCUCAGGGGUCCCUGACCGAUUCUCUGGCUCCAAGUCUGGCACCUCAGCCUCCCUGGCCAUCACUGGUCUCCAGUCUGAGGAUGAGGCUGAUUAUUACUGUGCAGCAUGGGAUAACAGCCUGAGCAGUCCGUUAUUCGGAGGAGGGACCCGGCUGACCGUCCUAGGUCAGCCCAAGGCUGCCCCCUCGGUCACUCUCUUCCCGCCCUCCUCUGAGGAGCUUCAAGCCAACAAGGCCACACUAGUGUGUCUGAUCAGUGACUUCUACCCGGGAGCCGUGGAAGUGGCCUGGAAGGCAGAUGGCAGCGCUGUCAACGCGGGAGUGGAGACCACCAAACCCUCCAAACAGAGCAACAACAAGUACGCGGCCAGCAGCUACCUGAGCCUGACGUCCGACCAGUGGAAGUCCCACAAGAGCUACAGCUGCCAGGUCACGCACGAAGGGAGCACCGUGGUGAAGACAGUGGCCCCUGCAGAAUGUUCAUAGCUUCCCAACCCUCACCCCACCCACGGGGGCCUGGAGCUGCAGGAUCCCAGGGGAGGGGUCUCUCCUCCCACCCAAGGCAUCCAGCCCUUCUCCCUGCACUCAAUAAACCCUCAAUAAAUAUUCUCAUUGACAAUCAGAAA
Non-coding RNA from Cercocebus atys (sooty mangabey), 904 nucleotides. The record is from the annotation of a RefSeq genome assembly. NCBI's taxonomy places the organism in Eukaryota, Metazoa, Chordata, Mammalia, Primates, Cercopithecidae.